RNAcentral lists this ribosomal RNA (199 nucleotides) under uncultured bacterium. RNAcentral's name for it is "partial 16S ribosomal RNA". It matches the Rfam family "Bacterial small subunit ribosomal RNA", at positions 328 to 539 of the family's 1533-position model. The record is from RNAcentral.
ACGCUCGACACCUACGAGAGGCAGCAGUCGGGAAUAUUGCGCAAUGGAGGAAACUCUGACGCAGUGACGCCGCGUAUAGGAAGAAGGUUUUCGGAUUGUAAACUAUUGUCGUUAGGGAAGAGAAAGGACAGUACCUAAGGAGGAAGCUCCGGCUAACUACGUGCCAGUAGCCGCGGUAAUCUGAGCGGGCUGGCAAGGC